This 652-nucleotide long non-coding RNA is filed under the name Monodelphis domestica (gray short-tailed opossum). RNAcentral's name for it is "lncRNA (ENSMODG00000033904.2)". Lineage: Eukaryota; Metazoa; Chordata; Mammalia; Didelphimorphia; Didelphidae. The record is from RNAcentral.
AUGGUGGUGCUCCAGCAGGUACUGGGUCAAGCUGGGCUGAAUAAUAGGAUACUGGAUAUUGAGCAGGUCCAAAAAGUUGAGUCGGAACACCUGAAGCUCCCGCUUUCAGCUCAUGAAAAUUUAAGGCAACUCACAGAAGUCAAUGUACUCAACAAAUUACAAAAUCUGAGAAGGAUUAAUUUCAAGAAAGGACUCUGGGGAAGCUUAAUCACUGAAUUCCAAGGCUGCCAGGGCCCUGAAGAAGUUAUCUCGCUCCUACACCUGUAUUCAGGACAUUUCAGGGGAUCGACUGGCGGCAAUCCUGCUUUGAAGAUAAAGGUUCAUUGGGCCAGUGAUGAAGUCCAGAGCUCCAGUAAUGUAGGGAUGCUCCAGUCCCGGUGGUCGCCAGGGCAGAUGACACCUAAGGGCCCUCCCUGGAGAUAGAGGCUAGCGCCCUGGCUUGUUCCUGCAGCAGCACCCACCUUCCUUCGAACCAAGCAUCACGGCGAAGUGGAGCCAUUUUAAUUAAAAAUGUUGUUUUUUUUUUUUUUGCCAGAAUGGAUCCAAUGUACAUUUAAGUAGGUCAUCUUUUUCUCUCACCUGCCAUCUGAAAGGAUUCUGUUCUAUUUGGUUGCAGAGGUUGGAAUAAAAAGCGUGCUGAGCAAGGAGGGCA